Molecule: ribosomal RNA, 483 nt
Filed under: uncultured bacterium
Lineage: Bacteria
Description: partial 16S ribosomal RNA
Rfam family: Bacterial small subunit ribosomal RNA
Source: RNAcentral
AUUGAACGCUGGCGGCAGGCCUAACACAUGCAAGUCGAGCGGAUGAAGGGAGCUUGCUCCUGGAUUCAGCGGCGGACGGGUGAGUAAUGCCUAGGAAUCUGCCUGGUAGUGGGGGAUAACGUCCGGAAACGGGCGCUAAUACCGCAUACGUCCUGAGGGAGAAAGUGGGGGAUCUUCGGACCUCACGCUAUCAGAUGAGCCUAGGUCGGAUUAGCUAGUUGGUGGGGUAAGGCCUAUCAAGGCGACGAUCCGUAACUGGUCUGAGAGGAUGAUCAGUCACACUGGAACUGAGACACGGUCCAGACUCCUACGGGAGGCAGCAGUGGGGAAUAUUGGACAAUGGGCGAAAGCCUGAUCCAGCCAUGCCGCGUGUGUGAAGAAGGUCUUCGGAUUGUAAAGCACUUUAAGUUGGGAGGAAGGGCAGUAAGUUAAUACCUUGCUGUUUUGACGUUACCAACAGAAUAAGCACCGGCUAACUUCGUG